CAACUCUCAACAACGGAUAUCUUGGCUCCCGUAUCGAUGAAGAACGCAGCGAAAUGCGAUACGUAGUGUGAAUUGCAGAAUUCCGUGAACCAUCGAAUCUUUGAACGCAACUUGCGCCCGAGGCUUCGGCCGAGGGCAUGUCUGCCUCAGCGUCGGUUU
RNAcentral lists this ribosomal RNA (159 nucleotides) under Lobosphaeropsis lobophora. RNAcentral describes it as "5.8S ribosomal RNA". It matches the Rfam family "5.8S ribosomal RNA". From Rfam's summary of the family: 5.8S ribosomal RNA (5.8S rRNA) is a component of the large subunit of the eukaryotic ribosome. It is transcribed by RNA polymerase I as part of the 45S precursor that also contains 18S and 28S rRNA. Lineage: Eukaryota; Viridiplantae; Chlorophyta; Trebouxiophyceae; Chlorellales; Chlorellaceae. The record is from RNAcentral.